RNAcentral lists this ribosomal RNA (253 nucleotides) under uncultured bacterium. Its description in RNAcentral is "partial 16S ribosomal RNA". It matches the Rfam family "Bacterial small subunit ribosomal RNA", at positions 524 to 776 of the family's 1533-position model. The record is from RNAcentral.
UACAGGGGGUGCAAGCGUUGUUCGGAAUUACUGGGCGUAAAGGGAGCGUAGGCGGAAUUGCAAGACAGAGGUCAAAUCUCCGGGCUCAACCUGGAACUUGCCUUUGUGACUGCAGUUCUUGAGUAUGGUAGAGGUUGGCGGAAUUUCCGGUGUAGCGGUGGAAUGCGUAGAGAUCGGAAAGAACACCAGAGGCGAAGGCGGCCAACUGGACCAAUACUGACGCUGAGGCUCGAAAGCGUGGGGAGCAAACAGG